UACGUAGGCAGCGAGCGUUGUUCGGAAUUACUGGGCGUAAAGAGUGUGUAGGCGGUGCUCUAAGUUCGGUGUGAAAUCUCCCGGCUUAACUGGGAGGGUGCGCCGGAAACUGGAGUGCUCGAGCGUGGGAGAGGAAAGCGGAAUUCCUGGUGUAGCGGUGAAAUGCGUAGAUAUCAGGAGGAACACCUGCGGUGUAGACGGCUUUCUGGACCAUUGCUGACGCUGAGACACGAAAGCGUGGGUAGCAAACAGG
Molecule: non-coding RNA, 253 nt
Filed under: uncultured bacterium
Lineage: Bacteria
Also listed under: 1 other name
Description: partial 16S ribosomal RNA
Rfam family: Bacterial small subunit ribosomal RNA
Source: RNAcentral